GGUCCUGUAGUGUAGCGGUUAUCACAUGGGAUUCUGACUAAUGCUGUGCCGGGAAUUCCCAUGACCCAGGUUCGAUUCCUGGCAGGACCU
This is a non-coding RNA of Dendrothele bispora CBS 962.96, 90 nucleotides long. Lineage: Eukaryota; Fungi; Basidiomycota; Agaricomycetes; Agaricales. The record is from the annotation of a GenBank genome assembly.